UCCUGCUGUUAUCCCAUCCUCCAGGGGUAUAAUUUGGUGGUGCAGGACCACUUCUUUCCCCUGCUCCAGGUGGACUGUAAUUCUGUUGAGGUGGGAAAUUUGGUGGCUGGCCAUGACUGUGAUGCUGUGAAGGCCCAAAGUUUUGCCGUGGCGGUGGGCCAUAGUUUGGCUGUGGAGGUGGGCCAUAGUUUGGCUGUGGAGGUGGGCAAUAGUUCGGCUGCUGUGAAGGUGGCCCAAAGUUUGGCUGCUGUGAAGGUGGGCCAUAGUUCGGCUGCUGCGGCGGCGGGCCAUAGUUCUGCUGCGGCGGCGGUGGGCCAUAGUUCUGCUGCUGUGGUGGUGGGCCAUAGUUCCAACCAUGAUUUCUC
RNAcentral lists this long non-coding RNA (365 nucleotides) under Olea europaea (common olive). RNAcentral describes it as "long non-coding RNA (OEUR_LNC001284)". The record is from RNAcentral. Lineage: Eukaryota; Viridiplantae; Streptophyta; Magnoliopsida; Lamiales; Oleaceae.